UUAAUUGAAGCCAAAAAAGAGGCUUAUUACUGUUAAUGAUAGAACUGAAUUAAUUAUUCCAAUUAAA
Molecule: transfer RNA, 67 nt
Filed under: Bittacus pilicornis
Lineage: Eukaryota; Metazoa; Arthropoda; Insecta; Mecoptera; Bittacidae
Description: tRNA-Asn
Source: RNAcentral